UACGUAGGGGGCAAGCGUUGUCCGGAUUUAUUGGGCGUAAAGAGCGUGUAGGCGGCCAUACAGGUCCGUUGUGAAAACUGGAGGCUUAACCUCCAGACGUCGAUGGAAACCGUAUGGCUAGAGUCCGGAAGAGGAGAGUGGAAUUCCUGGUGUAGCGGUGAAAUGCGCAGAUAUCAGGAAGAACACCCGUGGCGAAGGCGGCUCUCUGGGACGGUACUGACGCUGAGACGCGAAAGCUAGGGGAGCAAACAGG
This 253-nucleotide ribosomal RNA is filed under the name uncultured bacterium. RNAcentral's name for it is "partial 16S ribosomal RNA". It matches the Rfam family "Bacterial small subunit ribosomal RNA", at positions 524 to 776 of the family's 1533-position model. The record is from RNAcentral.